AUGGCGACAACUGGAGAUGGCGGUGGAGUUGGAGAGCGAAAUCUUGAUGAGGCGAGUAAGCUGUUGGAGAGACUGAACCUGCAUGAUGAGGAGACGGACGAUCUGAUCUGGGAGGAGGAGCUAGAUGUGGAAGAAAUAAAUCCCAAGUGGCUAGCCCUAGGGCGACUCCUGACGGUGAAAACUUUCGGCCAGAGCGCUCUGAUCGCUGACAUGAAAGCGGCGUGGAAUCCCGCCCAGGAUGUGGUGUGGAGGAGGAUUAAUGCAAACCUAUUUUCAAUUCAGUUUAACUGUUUGGCGGAUUGG
RNAcentral lists this ribosomal RNA (303 nucleotides) under Triticum aestivum (bread wheat). Its description in RNAcentral is "partial small subunit ribosomal RNA". Lineage: Eukaryota; Viridiplantae; Streptophyta; Magnoliopsida; Poales; Poaceae. The record is from RNAcentral.